Molecule: ribosomal RNA, 381 nt
Filed under: uncultured eukaryote
Lineage: Eukaryota
Description: partial 18S ribosomal RNA
Rfam family: Eukaryotic small subunit ribosomal RNA
Source: RNAcentral
CAAUAGCGUAUAUUAAAGCUGUUGCGGUUAAAAAGCUCGUAGUUGGAUUUCUGUCAAGGACAACUGGUCCGCCCUCCGGGUGAGCACAUAGUUUGGUCUUGGCAUCUUGCUGGAAACUGUUGCUGCGCUUGGUUGUGUGGUGCAGCUUUCAGCACUUUCACUUUGAGGAAAUUGGAGUGUUUCAAGCAGGCACAUGCCUUUGGACACAGUAGCAUGGAAUAAUUAGAUUGGGCUUUUGCUCCAACUUGUUGGUUCCUGGAGCUGAGGUGAGAAUCAAUGGGGAUUGUUGGGGGCAUCCGAAUUUAGCCGUCAGAGGUGAAAUUCUUGGAUCUGCUAAAGACGGACAACUGCGAAAGCGUCUGCCAAGGAUGUUUUCAUUAA